UGGUGGAGUGAUUUGUCUGGUUAAUUCCGUUAACGAACGAGACCUCAGCCUGCUAACUAGUUACACGAAGGAUCUCCUUCGUGGCCAACUUCUUAGAGGGACUAUGGCCGUCUAGGCCAUGGAAGUUUGAGGCAAUAACA
RNAcentral lists this ribosomal RNA (140 nucleotides) under uncultured eukaryote. RNAcentral describes it as "partial 18S ribosomal RNA". It matches the Rfam family "Eukaryotic small subunit ribosomal RNA", at positions 1299 to 1458 of the family's 1831-position model. The record is from RNAcentral.